AGCACCUGUGUGUGUGUUUUUGUCUUGACUCAUGGACAGAGACUUUGAGACAGGUGCAAAAACUAAAUCCUCUUUUGCAACCCAGAACUCAUUGUUCAGUAUGAGUCCUGAUACAGAUGAGAAGGAACAUG
This is a small nucleolar RNA of Suncus etruscus (white-toothed pygmy shrew), 131 nucleotides long. RefSeq annotates it as small nucleolar RNA SNORA40. Lineage: Eukaryota; Metazoa; Chordata; Mammalia; Eulipotyphla; Soricidae. The transcript has a single exon. The record is from RefSeq and is a predicted model, not a curated record.